UUGAAUAGCUCCAAAAUAUCAAAAAUUAAAAGUUGAGGAUCUUAUAUAACACGUUUUACUGAUUAUAACAAUAAGUAAUUGCAUUUGUAGGCAAAGAAACUAAGCAAUAUAUAUAACUAAACAAUAUAAUAUAGAUAUAAAUACAAUAUUAAACAGUAAAAAGUUGAUAAGAACAUGAAGUAAAUAAACAACAGCAGGCGAGCUUUGGAAAAACCAUGUAUUAUAGAAUAAUAAUAGAUUACAUUGUUCAUGGUAAUAAUGAUAUAAUAAACCAGAAUAUACCUGACAAUAAUAAUAAGAAUCUAAAAUAACACGAAUACUGAAUACAUAUUAUUAACAAUAAUGAGAGGAGGGACUUUGGGGAUGUUUGGCAAAGGAAGGGGCCAAGCCGCUCAGAAUUAUAUUCGAAAUAAAAGAAAAAAGAAGAGAAGACGAGAAGGAAGUAAAUAAAGUUUCUUAGAUAAAAUUAAUAAGAUUUUCUGAUUAAACGUAACAUCUUUGACACGUUUAGUCAUUUGAGCAUUUUAAAAUAAAAAUUGACUAAAUAACUCGACGCAAAACGAUUUCAAUUACGUUUGACAUCCGCUCCUCUUACGCAAAAAAAAAAUUAUGUAUUUGUGAAUUAAUAGAACAAGACAAAAAAAAAAUUAAAACAAAAAAAGAAAACGAAAUACAAUGACGGGAAUGACAAUUGGCUGCAUUUAAGACUUACUGCUAAAGUAAUUACGACAAAUUGCUAAUGAGCAAUUUAUACGAUCGUUUAAAAAAAACAACGCAUUUAUGGCGCUGAUUCAUAUAAAAUGUAAAUUUUUUUUUCUUUUUCGAAAAAUAAUAAAAUAGAUGAUUUUUCGCAUUCUCUCCGAUUAAACAUGAAACCCGUAAUGUUUUGUCUUGUCUAACGUGCUGUCAUAUAAAAUAAGGAAAAAACCUUUUCAUAUGUAUAAGUAUAUAUAUAUGUAUAUAUAUAUAUAUAUAUAUAUGUAUAUAUGUAUAUAUAUAUAUAUAUAUAUGUAUAUAUGUAUAUAUAUAUAUAUAUAUAUAUAUGUUGAGUGUGCGUGUAUAUAUUUGUAAUAUGUAUGCAUAGUGCACGCACCACGAUAACAUUUUUAUAUUUGUUUGUAGCACGUGACAGUUUUUACGUGUCAAAUUAUUGAAUUAUAUUUUUCAAGCCGAAGAUAGAAGAACGAAGAAAAAAAAAAAA
Apis mellifera (honey bee) is the source of this 1201-nucleotide long non-coding RNA. RefSeq lists it as uncharacterized. The transcript has 2 exons. The record is from RefSeq and is a predicted model, not a curated record. Lineage: Eukaryota; Metazoa; Arthropoda; Insecta; Hymenoptera; Apidae.